Molecule: ribosomal RNA, 253 nt
Filed under: uncultured Lachnospiraceae bacterium
Lineage: Bacteria; Bacillati; Bacillota; Clostridia; Lachnospirales; Lachnospiraceae
Description: partial 16S ribosomal RNA
Rfam family: Bacterial small subunit ribosomal RNA
Source: RNAcentral
UACGUAGGGGGCAAGCGUUAUCCGGAUUUACUGGGUGUAAAGGGAGCGUAGGCGGCGAUGCAAGUCAGAAGUGAAAGCCCGCAGCUCAACUGCGGGACUGCUUUUGAAACUGCCAAGCUAGAGUGUCGGAGAGGUAAGUGGAAUUCCUAGUGUAGCGGUGAAAUGCGUAGAUAUCAGGAGGAACACCAGUGGCGAAGGCGACUUUCUGGACAGUAACUGACGUUGAGGCACGAAAGUGUGGGGAGCAAACAGG